Long non-coding RNA from Ruditapes philippinarum (Manila clam), 1860 nucleotides. RefSeq lists it as uncharacterized. NCBI's taxonomy places the organism in Eukaryota, Metazoa, Mollusca, Bivalvia, Venerida, Veneridae. The record is from RefSeq and is a predicted model, not a curated record. The transcript is spliced from 4 exons.
UCAGGGGAAGUAUUUGUUGCGGUCUAUGAUUUUGUUUGUUGUCUAUGAUUAUCGUUCGUGCAAAUGGUGGCGCUGUUUGGAAAAUUUGAAAACAACACGAUUGGCAAUUUAUUUGGAUUUCGAAGAUCCUGGUCCUGGCUGAAAUUUAAAGUAUUGCAGCUGUAGCCUGUAUACCAUACAUUCAACAUGAAAAGGACUGUCAGGAUGCUGCAUUAAAUGGUCUUAGCUAGAGCCUAGAAUGUUAAUUUGCAAGGAACUGAUGGGGAGCAGAUUUUCUAUCCAAUCAUAGAAGCAGUAAGAGACAGCCAAAGAAGUACUCAAACACUUGACAUACCCAUAAAGAUCUAGAAGAAAAGAUUGGAACAGAUUGUAGCUUAAUUGUUAAAACUAUUAAAGAGAAUUUAAGCUGGACUUAAACUGUAUUUGAAAAUAAAAUAUCUGAAGUAUUUAAUAUUGUCUUGAUAUUUUGUUAAACUUGGUUACUUUGCUUUAUAUCCAAAAAUUAAAGUAUGGUGGGUUUUCAACGUUGAAAUGACAUUGAAACUUCAACGUUGUGCCAACGUUGAAGCUGCAACGUUGUAUCAACGUUGAAAUUUCAACGUUGUUUCAACUUUCAAAUCCAAAUAUAAAUCCAACCUUAUUUCAACGUUGAAAUAUGACCAUAAUUCAACGUUGAAACAACGUCGAUGUGCCUGCUGGGUAUAAGCUAUGGUUCAGUUUAUGCAAUUCUGACUGAUGUCUAUGGGAUGUCAAAGGUUUCCGCUAGAUGGGUCCCCAGGCAGUUGACUGACGACCAGAAACGGACCAGACUUGAUAAAUUAAGAUAUCUUUGUCUCGCUACGAGGAUGAACCUGAUUUAAUCUACCGGGUCUUAACUCAGGAUGAAACGUGGGUCCAUCACUUCGAUCCAGAAUCCAAAAAAACAGAGCAUGCAGUGGAAGCACCCUGGCUCACCCCCUCCGAAGAAAUUCAAGAGGGUGCCAUCAGCAGGGAAGAUCAUGUCUUCAUUUUUUAUAGUCAGGAGAUAAUCAUGAUUGGCUAUCUUGAACAAGGUAGUACCAUAAACGGUACAUACUAUGCAGGCGAAUUAAGACGUCUCCGUCAAGAAAUCGCGCGUAAAAGGAGUGCAAACUGUCUCAACGCGUUCUACUCCUGCACGAAAAUGUGCCAGCUCACACAUCCCAAGUUACGAUGGCUGCUGGAACUGAUUGCGGCUUGGAAAAUCUUCCCCAUUCCCCAUAUUCGCCUCUGACUUCUGCCUGUUUCCGAAACCUAAAACCAGGCUUCGUGGUAGACGUUUUGGAAGCAUUGAAGAUGUCAUGGAGGCGGUUAAUGAGUUUUUAGGACCAAAAUAGAGUGUUCUAUUUUGCAGGUUAAACAAGUUGGAGCAAAGGUGGGCAAAUGCAUUGAUAUAGAGGGCGAUUAUAUUGAAAAGUAAGACCAUUAGUUGGGUUCCCUCACUUCCGGACGGAGAUCGUGUCAAGAACUUUUUGGUCAAUCCUCGUACGCCAUUAUUCUUAACGCAUAAAAUAUGAAUGAUUGAUUAGGUGGUAAAAUAUUUAGGCGAUAAAAAGUAUGCUUUUACUUACGAAUUAUCGACUAUUCGCCAAUAUUGAUGUAAACAGAUAAUGAAAAGAAUUGCAAAUUCGAGCUGUACCACAAAGUGUUAAGCAAACAAAUGUGUUACAUAAUCAAUUAUAAAUGUUUAUUGUGAGCGUAUUAGAUGAGUGUAUUAGAUAUGUUCAAAAGUUCGUGGAAUUUUGCUGCCAUUUUACUUGGAUCAUGGAAACAGAGGGUGUCUUUAUUUCUAAAAGUGAGUUUUACUUUUAUCGUAUUUUUUAUUUCCUUCACGAGCUUUGU